RNAcentral lists this small nuclear RNA (19 nucleotides) under Arabidopsis thaliana (thale cress). Its description in RNAcentral is "snRNA_10919". The record is from RNAcentral. Lineage: Eukaryota; Viridiplantae; Streptophyta; Magnoliopsida; Brassicales; Brassicaceae.
CGAAACGACCAGACUGUCG